Molecule: ribosomal RNA, 139 nt
Filed under: uncultured Peritrichia
Lineage: Eukaryota; Ciliophora; Oligohymenophorea
Description: partial 18S ribosomal RNA
Rfam family: Eukaryotic small subunit ribosomal RNA
Source: RNAcentral
AAUGUACACACCGCCCGUCGCUUUUACCGAUUGAGUGUUCAGGUGAGCCUUCUUGAUAGUGUCAAAGCUAAAAAUUGAACAAACCUUAGCACUUAGAGGAAAAAGAAGUCGUAACAAGGUUUCCGUAGGUGAACCUGCG